UCCGGUUUGGCACCGGCAGUCCUCCCAGAGUCCUCGGCUUUACCCGGUAGCAACUGGGAGCGGGGGUUGCGCUCGUUGCGGGACUUAACCCAACAUCUCACGACACGAGCUGACGACAGCCAUGCAGCACCUGUGCAGGAUCUCCGAAGAGGGGCUCUCGUUUCUGAGAGCUUGCUCCUGCAUGUCAAGCCUAGGUAAGGUUCUUCGCGUUGCGUCGAAUUAAACCACAUGCUCCACCGCUUGUGCAGGCCCCCGUCAAUUUCUUUGAGUUUUAAUCUUGCGACCGUACUCCCCAGGCGGGGCACUUAAUGCGUUAGCUGCGGCACCCAGGGGGUCAAUACCCCGGACACCUAGUUCCCAUCGUUUACAGCGUGGACUAC
This 380-nucleotide unclassified non-coding RNA is filed under the name uncultured bacterium. Its description in RNAcentral is "contains 16S-23S intergenic spacer region". The record is from RNAcentral.